This 374-nucleotide unclassified non-coding RNA is filed under the name soil metagenome. RNAcentral's name for it is "partial internal transcribed spacer 1". The stretch from base 1 to 120 matches the Rfam family "5.8S ribosomal RNA", at positions 35 to 154 of the family's 154-position model. The record is from RNAcentral.
GAUGAAGAACGUAGCGAAAUGCGAUAAUUAAUGUGAAUUGCAGAAUUCCGUGAAUCAUCGAGUCUUUGAACGCACAUUGCGCCUCAUGGGAUUCCGUGAGGCAUGCCCAUCUCAGCGUUAGAAAAUAUUCUCAAAUUUUAGUUUUGUGCUAAAAUUUGGAUCAUGUCAAAGAAGCUAUUACUAUUAUUGUGAUCGCUCUUUGGAAAUUGAUAGGUCUUUGAGUUGCUACUCAUAGAACGUGAUGAAUCUUUCUUCAUUCUAUUGUAAUUCACUCUGGUAGUCCUAAAACUUGUAUGCCUGUGGCAUAUCUUGUAAUUUGACCUGAGAUUGAGUAGGGAUACCCGCUGAACUUAAGCAUAUCAAUAAGCGGAGGA